GGCAUUUUGCGCCGCGCCGACAACCGGACUGCCGGACAGCCGAACACGAGCUGCAGCAAGCCGCACUUCGCCAUUGCCGCCAUGAAGACCCUCCUGCUCCUGCUGGCCGUCGUCGUCUCGGCCAUCAUCUGCGCGCCCGCCCCCGACGCGUCUGACUCGAACCGCGCUCCGGCCGCGC
This is a long non-coding RNA of Thrips palmi, 178 nucleotides long. RefSeq lists it as uncharacterized. NCBI's taxonomy places the organism in Eukaryota, Metazoa, Arthropoda, Insecta, Thysanoptera, Thripidae. The transcript has 3 exons. The record is from RefSeq and is a predicted model, not a curated record.